This is a non-coding RNA of Pholiota molesta, 109 nucleotides long. NCBI's taxonomy places the organism in Eukaryota, Fungi, Basidiomycota, Agaricomycetes, Agaricales, Strophariaceae. The record is from the annotation of a GenBank genome assembly.
UCCCUCUUAGCUCAGUGGUAGAGCGCGUCACUAGUAUUCAUCCAAAGUAAGAUCAAUCCAAUUCCAAAAGUACAUGACGAGGUCAGUCGUUCAAGUCGGCUAGAGGGAA